GACGAACGCUGGCGGCGUGCCUAAUACAUGCAAGUCGAGCGAACAGACGAGGAGCUUGCUCCUCUUUCGAUAGCGGCGGACGGGUGAGUAACACGUGGAUAACCUACCUAUAAGACUGGGACAACUUCGGGAAACGGAUGCUAAUACCGCAUAACAACUUGAAACAUAAGGUUCAAGAGUGAAAGAUGGAAUUGCAGCACUCAAAGAUGGUAUCCGGGCCGACUUAGUAAGUUGUGAAGGAAACGGCUUACCAAGCGAACGAUCAGUAGCCGACCUGGGAGGGUGAUCGGCCACACUGGAACUUAGACACGGUCCAGACUCCUACGGGAGGCACCAGUAGGGAAUCUUCCGCAAUGGGCGAAAGCCUGACGGAGCAACGCCGCGUGAGUGAUGAAGGUCUUCGGAUCGUAAAACUCUGUUAUUAGGGAAGAACAAAUGUGUAAGUAACUAUGCACGUCUUGACGGUACCUAAUCAGAAAGCCACGGCUAACUACGUG
This 497-nucleotide ribosomal RNA is filed under the name uncultured bacterium. RNAcentral describes it as "partial 16S ribosomal RNA". It matches the Rfam family "Bacterial small subunit ribosomal RNA", at positions 28 to 507 of the family's 1533-position model. The record is from RNAcentral.